UACGUAGGGUGCAAGCGUUGUCCGGAAUUAUUGGGCGUAAAGAGCUCGUAGGCGGUUUGUCGCGUCUGCUGUGAAAACUCGGGGCUUAACUCCGGGCCUGCAGUGGGUACGGGCAGACUAGAGUGCGGUAGGGGAGACUGGAAUUCCUGGUGUAGCGGUGAAAUGCGCAGAUAUCAGGAGGAACACCGGUGGCGAAGGCGGGUCGCUGGACAGUUACUGACACUCAACUACGAAAGCGUGGGGAGCAAACAGG
This 253-nucleotide ribosomal RNA is filed under the name uncultured bacterium. RNAcentral's name for it is "partial 16S ribosomal RNA". It matches the Rfam family "Bacterial small subunit ribosomal RNA", at positions 524 to 776 of the family's 1533-position model. The record is from RNAcentral.